GUAUGUGUGACCCGAAUUGGUAAGGGAGCGGACUGUAACUCCGUUGUCAAAAGCAAUUGUAGGUUCAAGUCCUACCACAUACACCA
RNAcentral lists this transfer RNA (86 nucleotides) under Enterobacter hormaechei. RNAcentral describes it as "tRNA-Tyr". It matches the Rfam family "tRNA". From Rfam's summary of the family: Transfer RNA (tRNA) molecules are approximately 80 nucleotides in length. The record is from RNAcentral. RNAcentral also lists the same sequence under 12 other names. Lineage: Bacteria; Pseudomonadati; Pseudomonadota; Gammaproteobacteria; Enterobacterales; Enterobacteriaceae.